Acanthopagrus latus (yellowfin seabream) is the source of this 212-nucleotide small nucleolar RNA. RefSeq annotates it as small nucleolar RNA U3. The transcript has a single exon. The record is from RefSeq and is a predicted model, not a curated record. Lineage: Eukaryota; Metazoa; Chordata; Actinopteri; Spariformes; Sparidae.
AAGACUAUACUUUCAGGGAUCAUUUCUAUAGUUUCUGACUUGAGAAAUGUGUUUCUAAAGUGUUUGGUCUCGCUAACCACGAUGAUGAGUUGUGAUGUUCCCUUGUGAGCAUGAAGCAGAUAGAGCAUAAGGAUUCAGUUCCUGUUCUGUUGUUGAUGAUUGUUCUCUACUUCCUAAUGGAGUAUUGAAGAAGGGAAUAUGUUUUGAGUGGU